This 201-nucleotide long non-coding RNA is filed under the name Mytilus galloprovincialis (Mediterranean mussel). The record is from RNAcentral. Lineage: Eukaryota; Metazoa; Mollusca; Bivalvia; Mytilida; Mytilidae.
CCCCCUCAGUCAUGGUCUAUCGCUUUUGAAACUUUUGCCUAGCUUACAUGUACGAGUUUGUGAUAAGAUCAGUUUAAAAUGAACUGCUAAUGUUAAGUCAAUGAUAUUGCGUAUGCAAAUUUAUUGGCAUUUGCAAGUAUACAUGUAGUUUCCAUAGAGAUUAAACCAACCCCUCUUCAUGGUUCAUUGACUGAAAUUUUU